CCUACGGGCGGCAGCAGUGGGGAAUAUUGGACAAUGGGGGCAACCCUGAUCCAGCCAUGCCGCGUGUGUGAAGAAGGCCCUCGGGUUGUAAAGCACUUUCAGUGAGGAAGAACGCCUGGUGGUUAAUACCCAUCAGGAAAGACAUCACUCACAGAAGAAGCACCGGCUAACUCCGUGCCAGCAGCCGCGGUAAUACGGAGGGUGCGAGCGUUAAUCGGAAUUACUGGGCGUAAAGCGCGCGUAGGUGGCUUGAUAAGCCGGUUGUGAAAGCCCCGGGCUCAACCUGGGAACGGCAUCCGGAACUGUCAAGCUAGAGUGCAGGAGAGGAAAGUAGAAUUCCCGGUGUAGCGGUGAAAUGCGUAGAGAUCGGGAGGAAUACCAGUGGCGAAGGCGGCCUUCUGGACUGACACUGACACUGAGGUGCGAAAGCGUGGGUAGCAAACAGGAUUAGAUACCCGUGUAGUC
RNAcentral lists this ribosomal RNA (465 nucleotides) under Vreelandella stevensii. RNAcentral's name for it is "partial 16S ribosomal RNA". It matches the Rfam family "Bacterial small subunit ribosomal RNA", at positions 338 to 795 of the family's 1533-position model. Lineage: Bacteria; Pseudomonadati; Pseudomonadota; Gammaproteobacteria; Oceanospirillales; Halomonadaceae. The record is from RNAcentral.